RNAcentral lists this ribosomal RNA (260 nucleotides) under uncultured prokaryote. RNAcentral describes it as "partial 16S ribosomal RNA". It matches the Rfam family "Bacterial small subunit ribosomal RNA", at positions 524 to 784 of the family's 1533-position model. The record is from RNAcentral.
UACGUAGGGGCUAGCGUUAUCCGGAUUUACUGGGCGUAAAGGGUGCGUAGGCGGGACUGUAAGUCAGGGGUGAAAUACUGCAGCUUAACUGUAGCAUUGCCUUUGAAACUGCCGUUCUUGAGUACAGUUGAGGUAGGCGGAAUGUGGUGUGUAGCGGUGAAAUGCAUAGAUAUACCACAGAACGCCGAUUGCGAAGGCAGCUUACUAAGCUGUUACUGACGCUGAGGCACGAAAGCGUGGGGAUCAAACAGGAUUAGAUA